This is a long non-coding RNA of Daphnia magna, 265 nucleotides long. RefSeq lists it as uncharacterized. The record is from RefSeq and is a predicted model, not a curated record. The transcript has 2 exons. Lineage: Eukaryota; Metazoa; Arthropoda; Branchiopoda; Diplostraca; Daphniidae.
CAAAACUUGAUUCAUCACGGUUGUCAGGGGCGCUGCGAACGCUAGUUCCCCUCCAGGGUCCUUUCACGCAGGAAACAUAUUUUUUGAAAGGCAUAAUUUCCAACUGAAACAAGAAAACGACAUUAGCAAUAUGUUGGCUGUAACCCACUAAUUCUGGUGGCCUAGCCUACCAAAUGAAUUUUGAAAGCUUUAAUUUCUACAGUACAAAAUAAACACCUUUUGACUUUGGCAGAACAAUGACAAUAAAAAUGACUUUUAUGGUUCA